Nycticebus coucang (slow loris) is the source of this 1110-nucleotide long non-coding RNA. RefSeq lists it as uncharacterized. NCBI's taxonomy places the organism in Eukaryota, Metazoa, Chordata, Mammalia, Primates, Lorisidae. The transcript has 2 exons. The record is from RefSeq and is a predicted model, not a curated record.
GAUUGGUGGGAUUACACCUGCGGUGCAUCUUACGGGGAUAUAUGCGAAACUUGAUAAAUGUGGAAUGUAAAUGUCUUAGCACAGUAACAGAGAAAAACACCUGAAGGCUAUGUUAACCAUUGUGAUGAAAAUGUGUCAAACGGUCUAUGAAGCUAGUAUAUGAUGUCCCAUGAUCAUAUUAAUGUACACAGCCAUGAUUUAAUUAAAAAAAAAAAAGAAAGAAAUAUUUAAAAUGUAAGUUCCCAAUAUGGUGGAGUAGAGCAUGGUUUUAGAGGUCCACUGGGCACACUGGAGUGAGCCCCUUAGUGACUGGACCACAGGGUGUCUGGGGGCCCAUGGAGAAGCAGUCACUUCCCCACUGGUAUAGAAACAGUGAAAUUUUAAAGUGCCCAUUUGGCUGCACAGAUAUAUACCGUGGAACCUCAGCUCUGCUGGGAGCAAUCAUUGAGCCUCCAGUUUCAUGUGCUAAAGAACGUAAGGGUUUGGGCAGUGCCUGUGGCUCCGUGAGUAGGGUGCAGGCCCCAUAUGCUGAGGGUGGCAGGUUCAAACCCAGCUCAGGCCAAACUGCAACAAAAAAAUAGCCAGGCGUUGUGGCGGGCACCUGUAGUCCCAGCCACUCAGAGGCUGAGGCAAGAGAAUCACCUAAGCCCAAGAGCUAGAGGUUGCUGUGAUCUGUGACGCCACGACACUCUACCAUGGGUGAUGGAGUGAACUCUGUCUCUGAAAAAAAAAAAAAAAAAAAAGAAUCUAAGCGUUUGUCCCACCUCAAAAGAGGUAUUCACAGUUUCCAAAGGUUUCCCUUUAACGUAGCCCAGCCCAUACCUGUACCUCCACACAUACUGCAAGUCUCUGCCUUGAAUGCCACACAAAAACAAGAGUAUUCGCAGAUAAUUUAAUCAGGAUUUUAAUAUAAACAAGGUAAUUAUCUCAUAUUUUACAUGCAGAACAAUUUCAUUAUUCAAAAAAAAAGUCAUAUUCUGUACAUGGUGCUACUUGGCUCUAGUAGGAAAACAUUGAAAAAAAAUAAUUGAACUUUUGGUAGGUUUUGUGUUUCUGAGUUGUUUUCUGUAGAAUGGCAGCACAUCGGAUCCUGCCCUGGCAUCACACAGA